AUGAGAUUGUUGUGUCUUCUCCUGUGCCUGGUGACAUCUCCCAACAGUGUCCUGUCCCAGGUGCAACUGCAGGAGUCAGGACCUGGCCUGGUUAAGCCCUCACAGACCCUGUCUCUCACCUGUGCUGUGUCUGGAUUCUCCAUCACAACCAGUCCUUACUGCUGGGCCUGGAUCUGUCAGCUCCCAGGGAAGGGCCUAGACUGGAUGGGUACCAUAUGUUAUAGUUACACUGGUUACAGCCCAUUCCUCAAGUGCUGCAUCUCCAUCUCUAGAGAUACAUCCAAGAACCAGUUCACCCUGCAGCUGAGCUCCCUGACUGCAAAGGACACAGCCAUGUAUUAG
Non-coding RNA from Castor canadensis (American beaver), 342 nucleotides. NCBI's taxonomy places the organism in Eukaryota, Metazoa, Chordata, Mammalia, Rodentia, Castoridae. The record is from the annotation of a RefSeq genome assembly.